RNAcentral lists this ribosomal RNA (413 nucleotides) under uncultured bacterium. Its description in RNAcentral is "bacterial SSU rRNA". It matches the Rfam family "Bacterial small subunit ribosomal RNA", at positions 505 to 916 of the family's 1533-position model. The record is from RNAcentral.
GUGCCAGCCGCCGCGGUAACACGAACCGUCCAAACGUUAUUCGGAAUCACUGGGCUUAAAGGGUGCGUAGGCGGUGCGAUAAGUCGGGUGUGAAAUCCCUCGGCCCAACCGAGGAACUGCGCCCGAUACUGUCGUGCUCGAGGGAGGCAGAGGUAAGCGGAACCAGCAGUGGAGCGGUGAAAUGCGUUGAUAUUGCUGGGAACACCAGUGGCGAAAGCGGCUUACUGGGCCUCUUCUGACGCUGAGGCACGAAAGCUAGGGGAGCGAACGGGAUUAGAUACCCCGGUAGUCCUAGCUGUAAACGAUGAGCACUAGAUCGGGGGAACUCCCACAUUUUCCCGGUCGUAGCGAAAGUGUUAAGUGCUCCGCCUGGGGAGUAUGGUCGCAAGGCUGAAACUUAAAUGAAUUGACGG